GAAAUGCGAUAAGUAGUGUGAAUUGCAGAAUUCAGUGAAUCAUCGAAUCUUUGAACGCACAUUGCGCCCCUUGGUAUUCCAUGGGGCAUGCCUGUUCGAGCGUCAUUUGUACCCUCAAGCUCUGCUUGGUGUUGGGUGUUUGUCCCCGUCUCCGCGCGUGGACUCGCCCCAAAGUGAUUGGCAGCCGGCGUACUGGUCCCGGAGCGCAGCACAUGUCGCGCAAACGAGUGCCUUGGUACGGCGGCGUCCAUAAGCCCCUCUCUCACGCUCUUGACCUCGGAUCAGGUAGGGAUCCCCGCUGAACUUACGC
RNAcentral lists this unclassified non-coding RNA (310 nucleotides) under plant metagenome. RNAcentral's name for it is "partial contains 5.8S ribosomal RNA, internal transcribed spacer 2, and large subunit ribosomal RNA". The stretch from base 1 to 105 matches the Rfam family "5.8S ribosomal RNA", at positions 50 to 154 of the family's 154-position model. The record is from RNAcentral.